RNAcentral lists this ribosomal RNA (524 nucleotides) under uncultured bacterium. RNAcentral describes it as "partial 16S ribosomal RNA". It matches the Rfam family "Bacterial small subunit ribosomal RNA", at positions 28 to 523 of the family's 1533-position model. The record is from RNAcentral.
GACGAACGCUGGCGGCGUGCCUAAUACAUGCAAGUCGAGCGCAGGAAAUCGACGGAACCCUUCGGGGGGAAGUCGACGGAAUGAGCGGCGGACGGGUGAGUAACACGUAAAGAACCUGCCCUCAGGUCUGGGAUAACCACGAGAAAUCGGGGCUAAUACCGGAUGGGUCAUCGGACCGCAUGGUCCGAGGAUGAAAGGCGCUUCGGCGUCGCCGGGGGAUGGCUUUGCGGUGCAUUAGCUAGUUGGUGGGGUAAUGGCCUACCAAGGCGACGAUGCAUAGCCGACCUGAGAGGGUGAUCGGCCACACUGGGACUGAGACACGGCCCAGACUCCUACGGGAGGCAGCAGUAGGGAAUCUUCCACAAUGGACGAAAGUCUGAUGGAGCAACGCCGCGUGAACGACGAAGGCCUUCGGGUCGUAAAGUUCUGUUGUAAGGGAAGAACAAGUGCCGCAGGCAAUGGCGGCACCUUGACGGUACCUUGCGAGAAAGCCACGGCAAACUACGUGCCAGCCGCCGCCGUAA